UACUCGAGUGGCGAACGGGUGAGUAACACGUGGGUGAUCUGCCCUGCACUCUGGGAUAAGCCUGGGAAACUGGGUCUAAUACCGGAUAGGACCAUGCUUUAGUGUGUGUGGUGGAAAGUUUUUUCGGUGUAGGAUGAGCCCGCGGCCUAUCAGCUUGUUGGUGGGGUAAUGGCCUACCAAGGCGGCGACGGGUAGCCGGACUGAGAGGUUGGUCGGCCACAUUGGGACUGAGAUACGGCCCAU
This 243-nucleotide ribosomal RNA is filed under the name uncultured Actinomycetales bacterium. Its description in RNAcentral is "partial 16S ribosomal RNA". It matches the Rfam family "Bacterial small subunit ribosomal RNA", at positions 88 to 334 of the family's 1533-position model. Lineage: Bacteria; Bacillati; Actinomycetota; Actinomycetes; Actinomycetales. The record is from RNAcentral.